UGAACACAUAUUAAACCAGAGUCACUUGCCUUGUAACUGAGCCCUCAUAUGACCAAUUUUAAAAUUGCCACAGACCUCCACGUUGAAGCUCAUGUAAUUGGAACAUGCCCAGAUGAACCAUGUAUGAAACCAUGGGCAGAACCUAAGUGCUAAGAUGGAGGCGCAAGAACUGAAUUAAGAAGGAGACACUGAAUGACAGGAUUCAGGAUCCAAUCAUAUGGAGCCCUGGUAUCAUCUCAUUAUAAGAUCCAAUCAGAUCACAUCUCAUUAUGCUAUGCUUGUAAUACCAGUCCCAGCUCCCAGCUCAGGGAGACAGAUUUGAGCAUUUCCUCCUGUCCGCUGCCAGUUGACUUGCAAUAAAGCUUUUCUUUGCUCAAAAGCUGAUGCCAUGGUAUUGGCUUCACGUCAGGCAGCUGUCAGCUCAUUGGUUGCUCAGUAACGAGUACAUCCUUUCGAACUCAAGGCCCAGCAAGCCUGGUGCUUUAACCAUGUUUCUGUUUUUUUCUGUUCCUGGUCCGUGGGGAUGUUUUGUGUCUUUUAAAUUUUUUAAAUUAGAUUUCACUUUUUCUGUCAUCGUUGUGUUUGAAUAGAGGUGGGGUGGAGAGAAUGCACACCAUAAAUUUACAGCACCAUUUUAGCUGACAGUCCUUCUACAUGACUCAUAAAGUCAGGAAAAAAAAAUCAAUGAAAUCAAUGCUAUACCACCUCUACCUCUCAACUCUGUACUCUUUGCCCCCUUUUUAGUGCACACCAUUCCCCUCUUACCUGACUCCUGUGUCUCUCCACUGAUCUCUGUCACCAACUGGGAAGAAAUUGGGUGGCCUUAUUUGCUUAUACUAAAAAGUCAGGGAGUGUAGCAGACAGAAUAAUGCCUUUCCCGAAUGUCCAUGUCUUAAUUCCUAGAACUUGUGAACACACUACCUUAUAGGUAGAAGGGACUUCACAGGUAUGAUUUAUUGAAGGAUUUUGAGUUGGGAAAAUUAUCCUGGAUUAUCUGGGUGGGCCUGAUGUAAUCACAUGAUCCUCAUAAGAAG
Molecule: long non-coding RNA, 1034 nt
Filed under: Homo sapiens (human)
Lineage: Eukaryota; Metazoa; Chordata; Mammalia; Primates; Hominidae
Description: HSALNT0251742
Source: RNAcentral